GUCUACGGCCAUGCCACCCUGAAUGUGCCUGAUCCCGUCUGAUCUCAGAAGCUAAGCAGGGUCGGGCCUGGUUAGUACUUGGAUGGGAGACCACUUAGGAAGACCAGGUGCUGUAGGCG
RNAcentral lists this ribosomal RNA (119 nucleotides) under Pteropus alecto (black flying fox). Lineage: Eukaryota; Metazoa; Chordata; Mammalia; Chiroptera; Pteropodidae. The record is from RNAcentral.